AGACGGGAGAGAACUCCAAAAGCUCAGUGGUAACAGAGGAAGGAAGUGGGAAGUAAAAGGACAGGAAGAUGGAGUGGGUGUUGUAGGAGGAGGAAGAAGAAGAAGAAGAAGAAGAAGAAGGAGAAGAGAGAAGAUUAGUUCCCGAAAGGGGCCUCCUUUCCCUCUGUUUCCUCCUCUUUCCGGUCCCCCUCCUCCUCUUCAUUCCCUCCAUACCGUUCCGUGAGUCUCCAUCUCUCCUUUCAGAUCUCCAUCCCUCCCAAUUUUCCUUGCCUCAGAAAAGAAGAGGCUUUGUUUUUCUUUUGCUCUCGAAAAAAAUCUGAGCGAUUCAGAAAAGGUGGGAUUUUUUCCUUCUGUUUCCCGAUCGCACGGGAGGGGAUCCGAAGGAGAUAGGUGCGGCGGCGAGUAAAGCGGGAAUCUUUUACCCGAUUUCUUCGUGCCCGCGGGCUAAUUCUCGUGGUGGGAUUCUCUGUUCUGAGGCUUUGGGUUUGGCCUUGGAGUUAUGUUGGAGGGGCGCUCCUAUUUGAUAUCGAGGGUGUUCAGAAGCUCCUGUGAGCAAGAAUCCGAUUGGCAUUGCAUGGAUUACCAUAUCCACGAGUCAUCGGACAACAAGAAGCGUCCGCUGGACGAGGAAUUUGAAGAACAACAGCUAGAAGACCGGGUCAAGAGGAAUAAAUCGCCGCAGCUCCCUGAUACCCCUGACAUCAAGGAUAUGCAGUUGCUUCUUGACAAUUCGUAUCACCGUGGCCGGGAGCAUGGUGAUUCAAGCAUUGUCAGUCAGCUUGGCGGGGAACUGAUAGUCAGCUGCCUUCUUCGCCUUUCUCGGUCCGAUUACGGUGCCGUCGCAUCGCUCAACCGGAUGUUCCGCUCUUUGAUCCGCAGUGGGGAGCUCUACCAGCUGCGCCGCAAGAUGGAUAUCGUCGAGCACUGGGUCUACUUCUCCUGCAGCGUCCUCGAAUGGGAGGCUUAUGAUCCAUACCGUGGGCGCUGGAUCACGGUUCCUAAAAUGCCCCCCACCGAGAGCUUCAUGUGCUCCGAUAAGGAGUCCCUCGCAGUGGGCACCGAGCUCCUUGUUUUUGGAAAGGAGGUGAAUUCCCAUAUCAUACUGAGAUAUAGCAUUUUGACUAACUCCUGGUCUCGUGGUGUGGUUAUGAACUCGCCUAGGUGCUUGUUUGGAUCCGCUAGCCUCGGAGAGAAGGCCAUUGUAGCCGGAGGAACCAAUGCUCAGGGUGAUAUACUGAACUCUGCAGAGCUUUACAAUUCCCAAACACAGACCUGGGAGACCUUACCUUGUAUGAACCAAGCAAGAAAGAUGUGCUCGGGGGUAUUCAUGGAUGAAAAAUUUUAUGUCAUUGGUGGAAUGGCUAGCAACACAAAGGUACUGACAUGUGGGGAAGAGUAUGAUCUGAAGCGAGGUUCUUGGAGUGUGAUCCCUAACAUGUCUGAUGGACUUAACGGUGCGAAUGGUGCACCUCCACUUGUUGCUGUGGUGAACAAUGAGCUUUAUGCAGCUCACUAUGCUGAUAAGGAGUUGAGGAAGUAUGAUAAGGUGAAACAUACAUGGGUCAGAUUGGGAAGCUUGCCCGAAAGCUCUGUCUCAAUGAAUGGUUGGGGGCUUGCAUUCCGUGCCUGCGGUGAACGGCUAAUAGUGAUUGGUGGAAGGAGAGGUUCUCUUGGAGGGAUGAUUGAGCUCAAUUCGUGGAUUCCAAAUAGGGGGCCACCAGAAUGGAACAUGAUUGCAAGCAAGCAUUCAGGCAACUUUGUUUAUAAUUGUGCUGUGAUGGGCUGCUGAUUGAUCUGAUUUUUUUAGACCUGUAUUUUACUUCCCCUGGAUGGAUGCUCAGCGUCAGCUUGUUAGUGGGCUCAAAGUAUAAAUUCUGCCUAAUGGGUGAUAACUGGCUUUCCUGAAUUCCAUUUAGACUGAAAAUUCAGUAGAGGUCUCUUGUCUGUGUAACUCAGAGUUCCAUUAUUUGUUGCUCCUCUCACCCCUUCAUUUAUUUUGCAUUUGGAGCCCCAUCAACAAUUACUCUUAUAUGGCAUCUUGCAGGACGAUUUUUUUGGUCAAUAAGUUCAAUCUUUGAAAUAAUUUGAACUCUUGAUGAGCAGUAGCUUUAUGUGGUUCAAAGGGACCCUUUCUAUUCCACUCCUGAAUGCACUGAUGGAAGUUUGAUUACCUUGCAAGCACAAUGUGAGACUUUAAAGGGAUGGUGGACAAGUAGCCUGCUAGAUAUGCUCAGUUGACCGAGGUAAUACUUUAAAAUUUGUUUAUCACAUCUAGCGAGCAUUGUUCGAUGGGAGAAUAUUGCAUCUAGUGUUUCUACUGUUUGUCUGAGAUACCUUGGUUAUUUUUGCAUCAUUAUCUUCAGGUAGUCAUCAAAUUGUUCUAGAACUUUUUUUCUGCCAAAUCAAAGACCAAGGAAAUCUUUUGAAGAUCUAGUAAGCUGUGCAAUGCAGCAGACACCUUGUUUUUAUGAAUGAAUCUGGGAUUUUAUUUUUUCACUUACAGAAAAAAUACAGCAAUUUGUUUGUGCCGUUGGAUGAAAAUGGCUGUUGUACAUACCGUAGACCCUGUGGUGCUUAAGUUCACCUUUUAUCUUCCUGCAUUUCUUUCUUCAUGUAUACCAUUUAUAUCUAUUACUGACUUCCACAAAAAAUGGGGAGCAAUUUGUCUUGUUUCAACUCUCUCACUGAUUUUACAUGGUUGACUUUUACUUGUUUUGAAGGAAGAGAUUACCCAAUUUCUCCUGAUCUCUGGCUGCUCAUAUUUAGAUUCAAACGUACUUAUGUACUUAUGUAUCACUUUCUUCUGCCUCUUUUACCCAAUUUCUCCUAAUUUUGUUUAUGAUAUUCCUCUUGCUAUCAAAACCAUCAUAAUAUCUUCACCUCAGCUUCUUGCAUUCGGUAGUUAGCUUUACUCUGGAGUAUCCUCAAAUGAAAAUUGUGACUUUGUGUGAUAAAUUGUUAAUGAUAGCAUUGCAUGCUUACAGUUAUUAGCGAAUGAACUAGCAAGGUUCGAUUUUUUGAUAGGUUAUUGAUAUAUUGGAUUGCACAUUUUUGACAAUCUGAAAUUUACAAGAGAUACUUGAGCACUAGACAUAUGUAGUGAAGCCUAUGCACUCCACUGAUCAUGCACAUUUUUCCUUGAUUGAUUCAUAUCUGAUUUCUACUCUUCAGAAGGACCCUAAAUCUACCCAGGAAUUAGCAGUUUUAUCAUUUUUAUUGUGGCCAUUGGAGCACUCAAGGCCAAAUAUUCAGGGAAAUCAUGACUUGUUAUUAUAACCCAACAAGGGAAAGAUUCAUAUUUGUUAAAUACUCUAGGUAACUCCUGUGAUUGACUUUCCCUAAUCUUGAACUGGUAGCGCAAGCUCUACUUAUAGUAAGAACUACUGAAGAAUUUAGUAUUUUAGGAUGUCUAGCCUCUCGGAGGAUAAACACAAACAUUUGACAACAAUUAUAGAUAUCCUAUAGUCUGUAAAAUUAGUGAAACUCUGAUAUGAUUCACAAAUGUCAUACAAUUAUUGCCAUAGCUCAAGGAUUAUGAAUUAUAUGCAGAUUUUUUUUACAUCAAGAAACAUCAGUUUUGUGCCUAGAUAUAUAUGGUACUUGAUGUGAUUUUUGACUAAGGCAUCUCGAGGCAUAUUUGUCCACUAGGCAGUCAACUAGGAACCAAGGUAAUUGCCCGUACCAACAAUGAUAAUAACACAGCAUAGAAUUAAUUGUCUCUGUAAAUGUUGAGGUUCUGUUUAAUAUCCUGUACUGAUUCAGGUUUUUUACAUAAUUAAGGAUGUGUUGCCGUCAGCUUGAUUUUUUUUCUUGUCCGGUGCUUAACUACAGUAGAUACAACCACAAUGUAAGGCAUAUCAUGAUUUUAGUUGAUCAAGAUUAUUAGUCUUUUUCUUUUUUGGUAUAGAAAAAUUAAAUUGGAACUAGUUGCCAAUGAUUCUUAUUUUGCAGAAACUUAUUGGAGGAUUUUUUUUAUACUUUCUUUUGUUGGAUAUGAAAUAUCAUGGUAUGUUUACAUCUCUUUUACGAUCUGACACGGAACUGGUGGACUAGUUUACGUUGGAUUGACAUUGUGUAAGUGAAUUUAAAGAAGAAAAAUCGAGAAUAGGACCAGUCAGAUCCAUGAAACUUGUCAGUCUACUGUGUUUUUACAAAUUUAUCUUCCAGUUGAUUAUGCAGUCAAAAUCUGUCGAAAAGGUCAUUUUCUCAUGCACCUGACUUAUCAGAGAGAUUUUGGCUUUUACAUAUAAGAGAGCAACCAAAGUAGAAUCAAAUACUUCUCGGUAAGGAGUUUAGAAGGUGACAAAUGUAAUGCUAUAAAAUUCUGUGGGGAAGAUGCCAUCAAUGAAGACUCUGUUCCCUUGAAGAAUCUUGAUUAUGUUGACAUCUGUUGCUUCAAGUAAAUCUAGCGCCAGAUUCUGACUUGAAUUGGUAAUGCAUCUGCAAGGCAAAACAGUAGUUUCUUUCUUCUGAAAUGCCGGUUUCUUUGGUUUAUUAUCUACACAACUUUGAAAUGCUACUUCUUUUGUAUAAUGCUAUCAAAAACUCAGAGAGGCCUUCUUCCUCAAGAAAUCAGAAGAUACAGCAGCUUUAUUGCUUGUUUUAAGCUUGUCCACUUACUUGCUUAGUGAAUUGGCAUGAAAGUUUGUGUUUCUUCAAGCUGCUCAAAAUAUAAUAAUGGAGUUUUAGCAGCAGAGAAGCAAGACUAGUGACAUUGACAGAUUAAGUUGCACUGAUAUGUCUCUUGUGGCCUUCUUCUUGCCUUCAUUUGCCAGCCAUGAAUCCAGUCUCAUCUGCUCCAGGGCAUUGUAGACAGGCAUUGCAACAGAGCAGCUUGCUUUGUGUAGUUUGCUUGUGCCACUGUCGAAAGUAAUUUUCCCUGCACACUGCUGCCAAUCAUGUAAUGCCGCCUACAUGACUUGAUCAGCCAAAUCAAACUCACAAGUUCUCAUCAAUUCUUCUUCUUCUUCUUCUACCCAAGUAUACUUAUUGUCCAUUACUUUGGUGUGCAGUCAUCUGUUUGUUUUUCACAUACAAAGCUCAGCAGAUCACCACAAGCUUCUUAUCCUAAAGCUACAGGAGAUGACACGGGGGAGGGGAGAGGGAGUACGAUGGCAUAUCAUCUCCGUUAUUGCGGUACCGGACGCACCGCAGUGCUCGGGAUUGGCUGUCACAGGCGGGGCCACCGUCAUGAAGUACAACCUGGCUCAACCCAACCGAUCUGAGCCCUCCGAUUCCAUGAUGAGGUGCUUUAAAAGUACAACUGCUGCAUGCAUGCAGUACGCUGAUGUCUGAUGGUGGCUUUUCCAUGCACUUGUUGUGGGUAAGUCGCUUUGUUGGUACACUGCCGCAACCUUUUCUCUGCUUCUGUAGGAGGAAAGAACAUCAUGAAGUAUCACUUUACCUAUUCUCCCUUGUAGUUUAUGCAUCGAUAAUUUGCAUGAAAUCUACUUCUUCA
RNA transcript from Musa acuminata AAA Group (dessert banana), 5458 nucleotides. It is a transcript of the gene named F-box/kelch-repeat protein At1g74510-like, with no coding region annotated. NCBI's taxonomy places the organism in Eukaryota, Viridiplantae, Streptophyta, Magnoliopsida, Zingiberales, Musaceae. The record is from RefSeq and is a predicted model, not a curated record. The transcript has 3 exons.